CGCUAAGGUCGGAGCUGGGGAAGGGGAGGCCCAGGAAUGGUUCCGCAGGAGGAGACCACCGUUCCCAAGAGGGGAAUUCACGAAUGAGUGCUGCACACCAGGGAAGCAGUGAGGUUGCAAUACAGGGGGGACCAGGUAUCUUGGAGCUCAAUUUUUCUAGAGUGAGGAUUUGAAGAUGGAAAGUGACCUACCAGGGGACACCACAGGAAGAGAGCCUGCUCUAAAGUUAAGCUAAUUCACAGGAAAGCAGAGGUGACAGAGACAGAGACAGAAGGAGUAACCUCACUGAAGUCCUCGGGUGCAGCUGUCCUGAGCAAGUCCAACUCUUGGACUUUCCAGUCAAGAGAACCAAUGAAUUCAUUUCUCAAUUUAGCCAGUUUGAGUCAGGCUUCGGAAAGAGUCCUGAGUCACACUUAUGGCAAGCACUAGAGAAGGGAGCAAUGGGUGCAAGCUUCGUGGAAAAAACUAGAGUUCUUACCAAGUGGCCAAAUCUGCUGUCAGGCUUUUGGGACUGCUGGGUCCUGCAGAGAAUUCUGGGAGACUGGAGGACUGAUCACAUGUUUCUCGUUUUCCCUCCCUCCUCAGACACCUGUUAGAUAAACUGCCACCUAAGGUAACCUGAGCAUGUCUCCAGUUCUUGCAGCCUGAUAGAAUCGAGGGAAAAGUGGGUCCUCUUCCCUCCCUCGUUAUCACUCUGUAUUCCUAUUGCUGUUCCCUUUGCUCAUUUCAGUAAGAAGGUAAAUCAUCAUAAUAAUAUAUUUUAAAAUUUGCAUUUCUUUCAUUGCUAAUGAGACUGAUGCAGAUUAAACAUGUUGAUUAGAUGUUUUUACUUAUUUCCUCUUUUGAGAAUUAUAUGUUUAUGCUCAUUGCCCAUUUAUCUACUGGAAAAUCAUAGCUUAGUUAUAUAAAAAUUAUCUAUGACACACAAGAGAAAACCACGAAUCUAUUAAAGAUGUAAAGUAUCACAGUCAGUAAGGCUCUGUUGUUUCAAACCAAUCUCACAAAUGUCUAGAUGAAUCCUGUCAAGUUCUUAUAAAAUCCAGCCCUGUGCCUAUAUUAUUUGAGAUGUUAGAGUUUACCUGAUAUUGUCAAACUAAACAUUAAAGCAAAUCUUACUUCAGAAAACCUA
Pteropus alecto (black flying fox) is the source of this 1129-nucleotide long non-coding RNA. RefSeq lists it as uncharacterized. NCBI's taxonomy places the organism in Eukaryota, Metazoa, Chordata, Mammalia, Chiroptera, Pteropodidae. The record is from RefSeq and is a predicted model, not a curated record. The transcript is spliced from 2 exons.